RNAcentral lists this long non-coding RNA (250 nucleotides) under Musa acuminata (dwarf banana). RNAcentral's name for it is "long non-coding RNA (MACU_LNC000793)". Lineage: Eukaryota; Viridiplantae; Streptophyta; Magnoliopsida; Zingiberales; Musaceae. The record is from RNAcentral.
UUUUCUAUCACACAAUCGAAGAAGAAGAAGAAGAAGAAGAAGAAGAAACAUAGCAAACAGCAGCAGAAGGAAUCCAUUUGCAACCCACUUCAUAGUCUAUAGCAUAAAAAGAAGUGAAGGCUGGUGCAUCAUCAAGGAAGAAAAGGUUGGGUGUCUCACAGCAUAAACAACUCUCAAGAAUCUGCAACAUCCAAGCCUGCAAGCUCAUCAAUGGUUUUUGCUCCUCAUGCAAACCACCAAGACCCUGCAA